CUGGGGGCCCCGGGACGCCCCCCGUCCCUCCCCGAGGAGAAGCCCCCCCUGCCCCUGCCCCUUGAGGCGAGCGGAGCCCCCUCCGCCCCCGGACACCUGGGCGCGCCUGUGACAGCCUGACGCCGAGGGCCCGGCCACCACGCCUGCACCCUGACCUGCAGAAACCAUGAUCAGCACAACAUUAAACUGAGCCCUGAGUUGGACCGUUACCAGUUCCCACGGUGUAACGACUCCCAUUGUGGCCGAUUUCCCAGGCCACCAACCUGAAACCACUAUAUGCGGACUUGGGAAGAGAUGUGUAACAGCUCACUGCCAGAGCUUCCACCAGACAGACAAUGUGGACGAAAAUAACCUCAGGAGCCCACAGAGCAGCAAAUGUCCUUUCAGACAUGGAAAGUGAUGAGCAGAGCCUCCUAUAGCAGCGUGGCCCACACAACACACGGCAUCGGGCACUCUUCUUUCCAGUCGGGAGCCCCUGCCCAGGAUGCGUGCCCCCACCGGUCCAGAGGUGAAGGCUGCUCACCCCGGGGCUGCCUCUGUCCUGACCUCUCUGCCUGCCUCCUACAGCUCGGGCGCACCUGUGACGCAAGCCUCAGAGCAAAUUCCACUCAGGAGAUCCAGGAAGCUCUGGCCUGUCCCUCCCGUCUAGAAAAGAAAGUCCAAGAGGGAUACCACACCCGGAGGAGGGGAGAGAGGACAUGACAACACCUCCAGGAAUGCAGGGCCCACGCAGGUAUCCAGUGGUGGUUUCCAGAAAGGACAUAUGUGAUGAUAUCACCCUGAUGACUCCUGGACUGUGUGUUUGUGUGUUCUUGUGUUUCAGCAUCCUCAGUUUUAAUUCUCAUAUAAUGAAUAUUAAAAAG
This is a long non-coding RNA of Nyctereutes procyonoides (raccoon dog), 863 nucleotides long. RefSeq lists it as uncharacterized. The record is from RefSeq and is a predicted model, not a curated record. NCBI's taxonomy places the organism in Eukaryota, Metazoa, Chordata, Mammalia, Carnivora, Canidae. The transcript is spliced from 5 exons.